GUCCACGCCGUAACGAUGUCUACUAGCCGUUGGAGCCUUGAGCUCUUAGUGGCGCAGCUAACGCACUAAGUAGACCGCCUGGGAGUACGGUCGCAAGAUUAAACUCAAAUGAAUUGACGGGCCCGCACAAGCGGUGGAGCAUGUGGUUAAUUCGAUGCAACGCGAAGAACCUUACCUGGUCUUGACAUAGUAAGAACUUUCCAGAGAUGGAUUGGUGCCUUCGGGAGCUUACAUACAGGUGCUGCAUGGCUGUCGU
RNAcentral lists this ribosomal RNA (256 nucleotides) under uncultured bacterium. Its description in RNAcentral is "partial 16S ribosomal RNA". It matches the Rfam family "Bacterial small subunit ribosomal RNA", at positions 793 to 1055 of the family's 1533-position model. The record is from RNAcentral.